GACGAACGCUGGCGGCGUGCUUAACACAUGCAAGUCGAACGGAAAGGCCUCUUUCGGGGGGUACUCGAGUGGCGAACGGGUGAGUAACACGUGAGUAACCUGCCCUUGACUUUGGGAUAACUUCAGGAAACUGGGGCUAAUACCGGAUAGGAGCUCCUGCUGCAUGGUGGGGGUUGGAAAGUUUCGGCGGUUGGGGAUGGACUCGCGGCUUAUCAGCUUGUUGGUGGGGUAGUGGCUUACCAAGGCUUUGACGGGUAGCCGGCCUGAGAGGGUGACCGGCCACAUUGGGACUGAGAUACGGCCCAGACUCCUACGGGAGGCGGCAGUGGGGAAUAUUGCACAAUGGGUGGAAGCCUGAUGCAGCAACGCCGGGUGCGGGAUGACGGCCUUCGGGUUGUAAACCGCUUUCGCUCAUGACGAAGCUUUGUGUGACGGUAGUGGGUAAAGAAGCACCGGCUAACUACGUG
Molecule: ribosomal RNA, 467 nt
Filed under: uncultured bacterium
Lineage: Bacteria
Description: partial 16S ribosomal RNA
Rfam family: Bacterial small subunit ribosomal RNA
Source: RNAcentral